Halichondria panicea is the source of this 1339-nucleotide long non-coding RNA. RefSeq lists it as uncharacterized. The transcript is spliced from 3 exons. NCBI's taxonomy places the organism in Eukaryota, Metazoa, Porifera, Demospongiae, Suberitida, Halichondriidae. The record is from RefSeq and is a predicted model, not a curated record.
UCAAUGCCAAAAGUUCAAGUCUAAAACUAAUGGCUGCAAGUCAGCAGAGCCUUGCAGCUCUCUUCUCACUCUUGCAGCUACCAAUAGCUAGCGUUCUAGUGCAGAGCUAACUACUAAGUGUACAGUAGCAACAUUCGGUGAACAAGUUUUGCUACGGACUCUUCUGAAAAGGCUGCAAUGGCAUUUCAAGUAAGCAAAACUAGGCAUAACUCGAGAACGAAGCUUUAUUUUGCAAAUCCACGAAUUAAAAUCCAAGAAAACAUGACUAGAAGCCUAUAGAAACUCUUACUUGCACUUCAUUGAUCCUUGUGCAGCUGUAGCAGUCUAAACACACACACAGACACACACACAGACACACAGACAGACACACAAACACACUACCGUAUACCUCGCUUGCGCAUGCGCACCGAGGCAUAAUAAGCAGUCCUAUCGGGAAUGGAAACCAGACACCAUACUGGAGUAAGUUUCAAACACGCGCUCACAUGCACACAUGCACACACCACCUGUAAAUGUUUUAUUUGUUAAUAUACCCUAAAGAUACAACUCCUAAUGAUGCGCAGGCACUGAAAAAAUGCCCCACUUCAAUGAUCAGCUCAGGUGAUAUUCUACUAGAAUUUGUUGUUUCCGAUGGAUGAGUCCAUGAUUGACUCCAGAGGGGAUUGACUCUGCUUUGAACUGCUUACAGGGAUGAAUAUUUCAAUACAUUGGAAUAACUAUUUAAAACGAAGCAUCAUUCCCUGCAUGGUGAUACUCAAGAACCCACCUGGAAAAUAUUGGUAGACCCUCUCGCAGUCAACCUACAGGAUUGUCCAACAAAACAAGUCAAAUCUCACAAGAGCACAACGUGCUUCUACACAAGAAAAGCAUUAUCGAAAGCAAUCAUCUGUCCAUCCCUGGCAAUAAAACGUUCUUCAAUCGUUUGCUGCCAUUAUUGCCUCUCGAUGGCAAUGUCUUGCUUCUCCCCUCUCCCUCACUUCUGAAGACAUUGUGAGCAUCAAGAAAGAGACAAGAGGAUCAGAGGCGACCAGAGAAGCACUCGUCAUGCUGCAUGGUCAUGCACUUUCCGUGUUUCAUAUCUGUACCGUUCAUAAUAGUUAUACACAGUAUUAUCAUGUUGUCUCUAAAAGUGAAUUGUGAUUUCGGUCAGUCUCAGCAGUACAGUUCCUAGAUUUAGCUGCAUGCAUUCAAUUGCACUUGCAUACUGUAGAUAUAGCUAUUCAAUCCAACACAUGUUUGUGUCACUAAACUUUCAGAAUUCAUGCCUUGCCACGUAAGCAAAGAUUACUUAUUGCUGCACUUUCAAUUGUCUAAUUAUAUGCAACACCUUAGGUCCUUCAAA